Molecule: ribosomal RNA, 253 nt
Filed under: uncultured bacterium
Lineage: Bacteria
Description: partial 16S ribosomal RNA
Rfam family: Bacterial small subunit ribosomal RNA
Source: RNAcentral
UACAGAGGGUGCGAGCGUUAAUCGGAAUUACUGGGCGUAAAGCGUGCGUAGACGGUUAUUUAAGUCGGGUGUGAAAGCCCCGGGCUCAACCUGGGAAUUGCAUUCGAGACUGAAUAGCUAGGGUACGGUAGAGGGAAGCGGAAUUUCCGGUGUAGCGGUGAAAUGCGUAGAUAUUGGGAGGAACACCAGUGGCGAAGGCGGCUCACUGGACCGGUACUGACGCUGAGGCGCGAAAGCGUGGGGAGCAAACAGG